RNAcentral lists this ribosomal RNA (515 nucleotides) under uncultured bacterium. RNAcentral's name for it is "partial 16S ribosomal RNA". It matches the Rfam family "Bacterial small subunit ribosomal RNA", at positions 28 to 523 of the family's 1533-position model. The record is from RNAcentral.
GAUGAACGCUGGCGGCGUGCCUAAUACAUGCAAGUCGAGCGAAUGGAUUAAGAGCUUGCUCUUAUGAAGUUAGCGGCGGACGGGUGAGUAACACGUGGGUAACCUGCCCAUAAGACUGGGAUAACUCCGGGAAACCGGGGCUAAUACCGGAUAACAUUUUGAACCGCAUGGUUCGAAAUUGAAAGGCGGCUUUGGCUGUCACUUAUGGAUGGACCCGGGUCGCAUUAGCUGGUUGGUGAGGUAACGGCUCACCAAGGCAACGAUGCGUAGCCGAACUGAGAGGGUGAUCGGCCACACUGGGACUGGGACACGGCCCAGGCUCCUACGGGAGGGAGGCGUAGGGAAUCUUCCGCAAUGGACGAAAGUCUGACGGAGCAAAGCCGGGUGAGUGAUGAAGGCUUUCGGGUCGUAAAACUCUGGUGUUAGGGAAGAACAAGUGCUAGUUGAAUAAGCUGGCACCUUGACGGUACCUAACCAGAAAGCCACGGCUAACUACGUGCCAGCAGCCGCGGUAA